GAUGAACGCUGGCGGCGUGCCUAAUACAUGCAAGUCGAGCGAACAGACGAGGAGCUUGCUCCUCUGACGUUAGCGGCGGACGGGUGAGUAACACGUGGAUAACCUACCUAUAAGACUGGGAUAACUUCGGGAAACCGGAGCUAAUACCGGAUAAUAUAUUGAACCGCAUGGUUCAAUAGUGAAAGACGGUUUUGCUGUCACUUAUAGAUGGAUCCGCGCCGCAUUAGCUAGUUGGUAAGGUAACGGCUUACCAAGGCGACGAUGCGUAGCCGACCUGAGAGGGUGAUCGGCCACACUGGAGCUGAGACACGGUCCAGAGUCCUACGGGAGGCAGCAGUAGGGAAUCUUCCGCAAUGGGCGAAAGCCUGACGGAGCAACGCCGCGUGAGUGAUGAAGGUCUUCGGAUCGUAAAACUCUGUUAUUAGUGAAGAACAAAUGUGUAAGUAACUAUGCACGUCUUGACGGUACCUAAUCAGAAAGCCACGGCUAACUACGUG
RNAcentral lists this ribosomal RNA (497 nucleotides) under uncultured bacterium. RNAcentral describes it as "partial 16S ribosomal RNA". It matches the Rfam family "Bacterial small subunit ribosomal RNA", at positions 28 to 507 of the family's 1533-position model. The record is from RNAcentral.